Molecule: ribosomal RNA, 485 nt
Filed under: uncultured bacterium
Lineage: Bacteria
Description: bacterial SSU rRNA
Rfam family: Bacterial small subunit ribosomal RNA
Source: RNAcentral
GCAGUCGAGCGGACCGAUGGGAGCUUGCUCNUUUAGGUUAGCGGCGGACGGGUGAGUAACACGUGGGCAACCUGCCCUGCAGACUGGGAUAACUUCGGGAAACCGGAGCUAAUACCGGAUAACACCGAAAACCGCAUGGUUUUCGGUUGAAAGGCGGCUUUUAGCUGUCACUGCAGGAUGGGCCCGCGGCGCAUUAGCUAGUUGGUGAGGUAACGNCUCACCAAGGCGACGAUGCGUAGCCGACCUGAGAGGGUGACCGGCCACACUGGGACUGAGACACGGCCCAGACNCCUACGGGAGGCAGCAGUAGGGAAUCUUCCGCAAUGGACGAAAGUCUGACGGAGCAACGCCGCGUGAGCGAAGAAGGUCUUCGGAUCGUAAAGCUCUGUUGUCAGGGAAGAACAAGUGCCGUUCGAACAGGGCGGUACCUUGACGGUACCUGACGAGGAAGCCACGGCUAACUACGUGCCAGCAGCCGCGGUAAU